Molecule: non-coding RNA, 165 nt
Organism: Aegilops tauschii subsp. strangulata
Lineage: Eukaryota; Viridiplantae; Streptophyta; Magnoliopsida; Poales; Poaceae
Source: RefSeq, a predicted model, not a curated record
UACAAUGCCCUGUUGCGUAUUUAAGUUGUCUGCAAAGGAUUCAGCCCACCGCCCGUUGGGAAGGGAGCUUCGAGGCGGCCGGCCGCGGCACGUCGGCCGGACAGGCUUAGCCAAUGGCACGGGCCCUUGGGGGGCAAGCGCCCCUAACGUGGGAGAUCGGAAGAG